UACGUAGGGUGCAAGCGUUAAUCGGAAUUACUGGGCGUAAAGCGCACGUAGGCGGCUUUGCAAGACAGAUGUGAAAUCCCCGGGCUCAACCUGGGAACUGCAUUUGUGACUGCAAGGCUAGAGUACGGCAGAGGGGGAUGGAAUUCCGCGUGUAGCAGUGAAAUGCGUAGAUAUGCGGAGGAACACCGAUGGCGAAGGCAAUCCCCUGGGCCUGCACUGACGCUCAUGCACGAAAGCGUGGGGAGCAAACAGG
Molecule: ribosomal RNA, 253 nt
Filed under: uncultured bacterium
Lineage: Bacteria
Description: partial 16S ribosomal RNA
Rfam family: Bacterial small subunit ribosomal RNA
Source: RNAcentral